Molecule: unclassified non-coding RNA, 24 nt
Filed under: Mus musculus (house mouse)
Lineage: Eukaryota; Metazoa; Chordata; Mammalia; Rodentia; Muridae
Description: oocyte_clustered_small_RNA518
Source: RNAcentral
GAUGGUUUUGUGUAGGGCCCUAUG